This is a long non-coding RNA of Cavia porcellus (domestic guinea pig), 1023 nucleotides long. RefSeq lists it as uncharacterized. The transcript is spliced from 3 exons. Lineage: Eukaryota; Metazoa; Chordata; Mammalia; Rodentia; Caviidae. The record is from RefSeq and is a predicted model, not a curated record.
UUCCCUAACAUCUGCCUUGAUCAUUGUUAUGGAUUGAGAACUGGUGGUCAACUUAAUGCCAGCUGGAUUACAUCAGCAUGCAUUGCACUAAGAUGCUCCACCUGAGGAGCGUUGACAGGAAAAAGAGGUGGAGAAGAAGGGAGGUGUUGAGGGUUGAGGUGUUAAGAAGGCGUUGUGAGUUCUACAAGUUGCUGUCUGAGCUGUUGGUUCUGGAGAAGCUUUGGUCCUCACAUGGAGCAUUGCUUCCUGGCUCCAGAGGGGAAGACUUGUGCUGCUUGGUCUCAAGGAUGAACUUGUCACGCUGGCUUCCCAAGGAAACAUCUUGGUCCUGUCCCAUCUCUGCUGCCCCAACAGAGGCUGAAGGUGUCAGAAAUCUACCUAUCCAAUCUGGCAUCCCCAACCUCAUGUUUCUCUUGGGCCUUCCCUUCUGAGCAGAGAACAUCUGGAGCAAAUUCAGCUGGCCCUUAGGAGCCCUCCUGUACAGUGUCAUCAUUGGGGUAAUCAAGGCCCAUCUGUUCAUCAGCAUCUUCCUGGUGGUGCCAUUAGCCAGGACAGGUACAAGGUACUGGUGCAUCCCGUGGUCAGGUCCUGAGACCACUGGAAUGAAAGCUACCAGCUCUUCUGGAGGAAUUAAAACAGCAAUGAGCCAGUGAGCUUGGCUUGCUUGUUGCUUCUUUCUGACACUGUAAAAACUAGAAGCUGAUGACAGCCACCAAGAUACUUAGGACCUGGCCUUGUGAUCUGUGAAUGUACCUUAUGGAGUAAGGAGGACUUUAUGGACUUCCAGAGGAGGAAAUGAUCCUGGGCUAACUGGGGAACAAUAAAAUCAGAAGAAUCCUUAUAAGAAGGCAGCAGGAAGCACAGACUCAGACAGGAGGAGACAAGCACAGGUCUGAGAGAUCCAGGAAAGUGGCCUAGAGCCAUGGUUUUCACGCGCCCUCUAGUGGCAGAAACACAUGUGACACCUGAUUCUUCGUGGUCCUUCAUGGAGCAACCAACUGCUUGAGCCCCAUUUCCACAGCU